AUUGAACGCUGGCGGCAGGCCUAACACAUGCAAGUCGAGCGGAUGAAGGGAGCUUGCUCCUGGAUUCAGCGGCGGACGGGUGAGUAAUGCCUAGGAAUCUGCCUGGUAGUGGGGGAUAACGUCCGGAAACGGGCGCUAAUACCGCAUACGUCCUGAGGGAGAAAGUGGGGGAUCUUCGGACCUCACGCUAUCAGAUGAGCCUAGGUCGGAUUAGCUAGUUGGUGGGGUAAAGGCCUACCAAGGCGACGAUCCGUAACUGGUCUGAGAGGAUGAUCAGUCACACUUGAACUGAGACACGGUCCAGACUCCUACGGGAGGCAGCAGUGGGGAAUAUUGGACAAUGGGCGAAAGCCUGAUCCAGCCAUGCCGCGUGUGUGAAGAAGGUCUUCGGAUUGUAAAGCACUUUAAGUUGGGAGGAAGGGCAGUAAGUUAAUACCUAGCUGUUUGGACGUUACCAACAGAAUAAGCACCGGCUAACUUCGU
This 483-nucleotide ribosomal RNA is filed under the name uncultured bacterium. RNAcentral's name for it is "partial 16S ribosomal RNA". It matches the Rfam family "Bacterial small subunit ribosomal RNA", at positions 30 to 506 of the family's 1533-position model. The record is from RNAcentral.